This 71-nucleotide transfer RNA is filed under the name Rothia amarae. It matches the Rfam family "tRNA". Rfam says of the family: Transfer RNA (tRNA) molecules are approximately 80 nucleotides in length. Their secondary structure includes four short double-helical elements and three loops (D, anti-codon, and T loops). The record is from Rfam by way of RNAcentral. RNAcentral also lists the same sequence under 12 other names. Lineage: Bacteria; Bacillati; Actinomycetota; Actinomycetes; Micrococcales; Micrococcaceae.
GGUGAGGUGGUCGAGUGGUUAGGCAGCGGCCUGCAAAGCCGUGUACGCGGGUUCAAAUCCCGUCCUCACCU